RNAcentral lists this ribosomal RNA (253 nucleotides) under uncultured bacterium. RNAcentral's name for it is "partial 16S ribosomal RNA". It matches the Rfam family "Bacterial small subunit ribosomal RNA", at positions 524 to 776 of the family's 1533-position model. The record is from RNAcentral.
GACGAAGGGGGCUAGCGUUGUUCGGAAUUACUGGGCGUAAAGCGCGUGUAGGCGGUUGUUCAAGUCGGGUGUGAAAGCCUUGAGCUCAACUCAAGAAGUGCACUCGGUACUGGAUGACUAGAGGACCGGAGAGGAUAGUGGAAUUCCCAGUGUAGUGGUGAAAUACGUAGAGAUUGGGAAGAACACCAGUGGCGAAGGCGGCUAUCUGGACGGUUUCUGACGCUAAGACGCGAAAGCGUGGGGAGCAAACAGG